AUUGAACGCUGGCGGCAGGCCUAACACAUGCAAGUCGAGCGGCAGCGGGAAAGUAGCUUGCUACUUUUGCCGGCGAGCGGCGGACGGGUGAGUAAUGCCUGGGGAUCUGCCCAGUCGAGGGGGAUAACUACUGGAAACGGUAGCUAAUACCGCAUACGCCCUACGGGGGAAAGCAGGGGACCUUCGGGCCUUGCGCGAUUGGAUGAACCCAGGUGGGAUUAGCUAGUUGGUGAGGUAAUGGCUCACCAAGGCGACGAUCCCUAGCUGGUCUGAGAGGAUGAUCAGCCACACUGGAACUGAGACACGGUCCAGACUCCUACGGGAGGCAGCAGUGGGGAAUAUUGCACAAUGGGGGAAACCCUGAUGCAGCCCAUGCCGCGUGUGUGAAGAAGGCCUUCGGGUUGUAAAGGCACUUUCAAGCGAGGAGGAAAGGGUUGGUAGCGUAAGUAACUGCCAGCUGUGACGUUACUCGCAGAAGAAGCACC
RNAcentral lists this ribosomal RNA (485 nucleotides) under uncultured bacterium. RNAcentral's name for it is "bacterial SSU rRNA". It matches the Rfam family "Bacterial small subunit ribosomal RNA", at positions 29 to 494 of the family's 1533-position model. The record is from RNAcentral.